AUGAGCGGACCUGAUACGCGGUUCAAACACCUGCGGAAGAGUGUUCCUAUUCGAGCUAGAGGUCGAGGUCGAGGUAGAGGACGUGGUUUUGUCCCCGUGGAUGAACCCCACACAAGUGGUUUCAAUGCGAUGCAAAAUCAGAUGAUUCCCUUUGUAGGACCCCGUCUUCAUGUACUUCAUGAUGACAUGUUUGACUGGCAUCAGGAGGAGAAUGUAAAUGGUAGGAUUUCUUCAGCAGAUGAUGAUGAUCAAUUUGAGUCCGUGGAAUUCAAUUCAAUUUAUUCGUCUCACAAUCAGCGUGCUCAAUCUGAAGCGCCAGCCUCAGAUAUCCAACUCCUCGUCAAUGAGAUAAGAGAAUUGAAGAUGUCACUUCCAACUAUCGUUAAGUGUGAAAUUGACCGUCAAAUUUCUGAAAGUGUAGGUAGAGCACCAACUUCACUUCCUGAGAAUGCGGAAAGAGCUCCUUCUGCUGCUCGAGUGUCUACUAAUUCUUUUCCUAUAAUGCCACAACCCUCUGUAAACGUUACAGUUCCAAAUCGUCAUAAUAAGGUCAACCACUCAUCAGUGGCGAGUGCCGUUUCAAACAGUAACAUUUCUCCUAAGUCCAGUAAUUACAAGUCAUCUUAUCGCUCCUCUAUUAAGUUGAAAGAUUUGCCUGCCUUUAAUGGAGAAUUGUCUCCAGUACAUCCUGUAGAAUUUGUAGAAUCGGUUACCACAUUUUAUGGAGCAUCGGACGUACCUGAUCAAGUAAAACUUCAGGAAAUAAUGCAGAUUCUAAAAGGUAAAGCAUUGACUUGGUAUAAUGUUAAUAAGUUGAAACACUCUAGCUUUGAGCAAUUUUCAGAGGCUCUCCUCAAAUAUUUUUGGGGUGACCAAGUGCAGGAUAAUGUCAGGGCGCUUUUGUUCACUCCUAAUCAAUAUAAAAAGGGUGGCCUGGAUAUGACCAGCUAUUUUCUAAACUAUGUUCAUAGGGCACAAUAUUUGGACCCGCCUGUUCAAGAAUCAUUACUUGUGUCCACAAUUCUUCGCCAUUUCCCAUCGGGUGUGCGGAGAAAUCUACAUUUAUCUGCAUGCCAGACCAUUGAUGUAACCUUAGAGCAACUACGCCUUUUGGAGGCUGAUCCCGAACUUUCUGUCAGUGUCCCAAUGUUUCCCAACCAGCACCAUCUCGGAAUCAGCCCAACCCUGCUUGGCCCCAAGCCAAAAAAGCUUAUGGGACCAAUCAGGUUUCAGUGGACCCAAGUGUGCAUAUUGAUGUUUCGAUCCCUCCGCCAAGUUUCGAAACUGAGGCUAGUCAAUGCACGUCUUUAA
Molecule: long non-coding RNA, 1311 nt
Filed under: Bemisia tabaci
Lineage: Eukaryota; Metazoa; Arthropoda; Insecta; Hemiptera; Aleyrodidae
Description: lncRNA ENSSSA1UGG005886
Source: RNAcentral